ACCGUUCACGUUACGGUUCGCACGAAUCGAACACAUUUUACUGAUUUACCAGGUCUUUGAGAGCAAUAAUUGAACAAACAGACCAUGUCAGAAUUUGAUGUGGAGACAGCUUUAUCCAGCGCCAGAGAUCCAGAAUCUGAUCGGGGAGAAGAAUCUAAUGAAGAAAAGUUGACCUUUGACAAUCCUGAUCCUGAGGUAAAAGGUCAUCAACACGAAGUAACAGUGAAG
Molecule: long non-coding RNA, 228 nt
Organism: Saccostrea cuccullata (small rock oyster)
Lineage: Eukaryota; Metazoa; Mollusca; Bivalvia; Ostreida; Ostreidae
Exons: 3
Source: RefSeq, a predicted model, not a curated record